GAUGCAACGCGAAAAACCUUACCUACCCUUGACAUGUCUAGAAGUUUCCAGAGAUGGAUUCGUGCUCGAAAGAGAACUAGAACACAGGUGCUGCAUGGCCGUCGUCAGCUCGUGUCGUGAGAUGUUGGGUUAAGCCCCGCAACGAGCGCAACCCUUAUCAUUAGUUGCUACGCAAGGGCACUCUAAUGAGACUGCCGGUGACAAACCGGAGGAAGGUGGGGAUGACGUCAGGUCAUCAUGGCCCUUAUGGGUAGGGCUACACACGUCAUACAAUGGCCGGUACAGAGGGCUGCCAACCCGCGAGGGGGAGCUAAUCUCAGAAAACCGGUCGUAGUCCGGAUCGCAGUCUGCAACUCGACUGCGUGAAGUCGGAAUCGCUAGUAAUCGCGGAUCAGCUUGCCGCGGUGAAUACGUUCCCGGGUCUUGUACACACCGCCCGUCACACCAUGGGAGCGGGUUCUGCCAGAAGUAGUUAGCCUAACCGCAAGGAGGGCGAUUACCACGGCAGGGUUCGUGACUGGGGUGAAGUCGUAACAAGGUAACCGU
RNAcentral lists this ribosomal RNA (546 nucleotides) under uncultured bacterium. Its description in RNAcentral is "bacterial SSU rRNA". It matches the Rfam family "Bacterial small subunit ribosomal RNA", at positions 953 to 1503 of the family's 1533-position model. The record is from RNAcentral.